RNAcentral lists this long non-coding RNA (356 nucleotides) under Arabidopsis lyrata. RNAcentral's name for it is "long non-coding RNA (ALYR_LNC001560)". Lineage: Eukaryota; Viridiplantae; Streptophyta; Magnoliopsida; Brassicales; Brassicaceae. The record is from RNAcentral.
CAAAAAAAAAACGGAAUAACGAGUAGUCGUUAGCUUAGUUUAUGCCAAAUUGUCGCCAAAUAUGCUCAACCAAAUCAGCUUUCAGUUGUUCAUGCUUAGUCCGAUCACGUAUUUCGGAUCGAGUGGCCAUCAUAUUACCGAGAUUUGAAGGCAUUUCUGUAGAGUAGGUGAAAUCCACUUGUGAAGAUGUGGUUGAUUCCGGGUGUUCGAAUUCGGUGACAUCAAACUGAGUGUACCCAUCUCGUUCAUCAUCUACUAUCACAUUAUGAAGAAUUAUACAUGCUCGCAUAAUCUUUGCUAUUUUUACCUUAUCCCAAAUAAGAGCCGGAUUUUUGAUAAUGGCAAAUCGAGCUUGC